RNAcentral lists this ribosomal RNA (1645 nucleotides) under Escherichia coli 6-537-08_S3_C2. RNAcentral describes it as "bacterial LSU rRNA". It matches the Rfam family "Bacterial large subunit ribosomal RNA", at positions 1300 to 2925 of the family's 2925-position model. Lineage: Bacteria; Pseudomonadati; Pseudomonadota; Gammaproteobacteria; Enterobacterales; Enterobacteriaceae. The record is from RNAcentral.
ACAUAAGUAACGAUAAAGCGGGUGAAAAGCCCGCUCGCCGGAAGACCAAGGGUUCCUGUCCAACGUUAAUCGGGGCAGGGUGAGUCGACCCCUAAGGCGAGGCCGAAAGGCGUAGUCGAUGGGAAACAGGUUAAUAUUCCUGUACUUGGUGUUACUGCGAAGGGGGGACGGAGAAGGCUAUGUUGGCCGGGCGACGGUUGUCCCGGUUUAAGCGUGUAGGCUGGUUUUCCAGGCAAAUCCGGAAAAUCAAGGCUGAGGCGUGAUGACGAGGCACUACGGUGCUGAAGCAACAAAUGCCCUGCUUCCAGGAAAAGCCUCUAAGCAUCAGGUAACAUCAAAUCGUACCCCAAACCGACACAGGUGGUCAGGUAGAGAAUACCAAGGCGCUUGAGAGAACUCGGGUGAAGGAACUAGGCAAAAUGGUGCCGUAACUUCGGGAGAAGGCACGCUGAUAUGUAGGUGAAGUCCCUCGCGGAUGGAGCUGAAAUCAGUCGAAGAUACCAGCUGGCUGCAACUGUUUAUUAAAAACACAGCACUGUGCAAACACGAAAGUGGACGUAUACGGUGUGACGCCUGCCCGGUGCCGGAAGGUUAAUUGAUGGGGUUAGCGCAAGCGAAGCUCUUGAUCGAAGCCCCGGUAAACGGCGGCCGUAACUAUAACGGUCCUAAGGUAGCGAAAUUCCUUGUCGGGUAAGUUCCGACCUGCACGAAUGGCGUAAUGAUGGCCAGGCUGUCUCCACCCGAGACUCAGUGAAAUUGAACUCGCUGUGAAGAUGCAGUGUACCCGCGGCAAGACGGAAAGACCCCGUGAACCUUUACUAUAGCUUGACACUGAACAUUGAGCCUUGAUGUGUAGGAUAGGUGGGAGGCUUUGAAGUGUGGACGCCAGUCUGCAUGGAGCCGACCUUGAAAUACCACCCUUUAAUGUUUGAUGUUCUAACGUGGACCCGUAAUCCGGGUUGCGGACAGUGUCUGGUGGGUAGUUUGACUGGGGCGGUCUCCUCCUAAAGAGUAACGGAGGAGCACGAAGGUUGGCUAAUCCUGGUCGGACAUCAGGAGGUUAGUGCAAUGGCAUAAGCCAGCUUGACUGCGAGCGUGACGGCGCGAGCAGGUGCGAAAGCAGGUCAUAGUGAUCCGGUGGUUCUGAAUGGAAGGGCCAUCGCUCAACGGAUAAAAGGUACUCCGGGGAUAACAGGCUGAUACCGCCCAAGAGUUCAUAUCGACGGCGGUGUUUGGCACCUCGAUGUCGGCUCAUCACAUCCUGGGGCUGAAGUAGGUCCCAAGGGUAUGGCUGUUCGCCAUUUAAAGUGGUACGCGAGCUGGGUUUAGAACGUCGUGAGACAGUUCGGUCCCUAUCUGCCGUGGGCGCUGGAGAACUGAGGGGGGCUGCUCCUAGUACGAGAGGACCGGAGUGGACGCAUCACUGGUGUUCGGGUUGUCAUGCCAAUGGCACUGCCCGGUAGCUAAAUGCGGAAGAGAUAAGUGCUGAAAGCAUCUAAGCACGAAACUUGCCCCGAGAUGAGUUCUCCCUGACUCCUUGAGAGUCCUGAAGGAACGUUGAAGACGACGACGUUGAUAGGCCGGGUGUGUAAGCGCAGCGAUGCGUUGAGCUAACCGGUACUAAUGAACCGUGAGGCUUAACCUU